CACUUAUGGGGCAGCCCCCUGUUUACUGCCGCCCCUUUUCUCUGCCCCACAGAUUCGGACGAGGCGGAGGCACCUCAGGAUUCGGUGCUGCAGGAACUGCGGGAGCGGCGGCGGAAGCUGCGGGCAGUGCUGAGGUUUUUGGACGCCGUGGCGCCGCUUCCGCCCCCCCGGAUCCUUUGGGACCCGCAGUAAAAAAUUCCGCCCCUU
Non-coding RNA from Phasianus colchicus (ring-necked pheasant), 207 nucleotides. The record is from RefSeq and is a predicted model, not a curated record. Lineage: Eukaryota; Metazoa; Chordata; Aves; Galliformes; Phasianidae.